This 355-nucleotide long non-coding RNA is filed under the name Hordeum vulgare. RNAcentral's name for it is "long non-coding RNA (HVUL_LNC014076)". Lineage: Eukaryota; Viridiplantae; Streptophyta; Magnoliopsida; Poales; Poaceae. The record is from RNAcentral.
GCGCACGUCAUGCCGACGGCGAAGCUGAUGGAGACGGUGAAGAUGCCGAGCAGGAUGAGGUUGACGGGGUGCUUCUGGUGGUAGUAGCGCAGGGGGCAGAGCACUGCGGCGCGAACGGAGCAACCAAUUACGUUAGCCAACGCACGAAUUCGAACUCAGCGAGGCACCCGUGAGGGGCAGGUAAUUACCGAUGAGGGGCAGGAUGAGGAGGAAGAUGUAGAGGCCGAAGCCGGCGUUGGAGGAGACGAAGAACUCGGAGACGGCGGGGACCUUGACGACGAAGCCCGCGACGGCGGCCGUCAUGGCGAGCUGCACGGAGAGGAUGACGUAGAUCUUGCGGAUGAAGGCCCAGCGC